RNAcentral lists this non-coding RNA (28 nucleotides) under Bombyx mori (domestic silkworm). Lineage: Eukaryota; Metazoa; Arthropoda; Insecta; Lepidoptera; Bombycidae. The record is from RNAcentral.
UGGUCGUCAGUAAGAGUUCCUAUAAUAA